AGCGAGGGAGGAGGAGGAGGAGGAGGAGGAGGCGGCGGCCGCCGCGGCGCGUUCCCGCCCGCGCGUCCCGGUGGCGCCCUGGGCUCGAGCUCUUGCGCCCCGGAGCCGGGGCCCGCGAUCGGCCGCGGCUUGCGAGACGCCCGCCACCCGGGGGAACUUCUCAGCAGACUUUUGGGGCCCUCGAGCCACAGGACUGCCCCGAGCCGGCAGCCUCUACCCGCACGUUCGGCACGGAGCCGGGAGGGCCCUGCCCAGGAGCGCAUAGAAAAAGGAUGAGUCAAAGCAUAAAAGCAGGUAAUGGGCUGUCCUCAAAUGAGCCAUCAAGAUGUCACAGACUUUUGCUAUCAGCCCAUCAUCUGAACAACCAUCCAGCUGAGUGCAUCUUCAGUGAUCUUCUCCCUUUUCCUGCUCCAUGGGAAGAGGAUCUCCUGCCAUCAGACGACAGGGACACAGAAAAACCUGGCAGGGAGGAUGAUUUCUGGUGUCCGGGAACAGUUAAGAUAGAUCCUCCCCUUUACCUGAAAAGAUUGGUUACACCUGCUUAAAUUCCAGCUGGCCACGAAGUCCUGCCCCGAGGGCAGUCGUCCAGCACGGUCUUUCUAUGAGAGCCCGUCGUUAGCACUCGUGUGAAGGCCUUCCGUGAACUGGACCUGCUCACUGCUCUGUGCCUGGCUGUGCUGAAGCUCGCCUCCCCCUCCGUCACCACAACCCGACCAGAGGCCGUAAAGUCAUCAGUGCAAACCUGCUUCAAAGUGGACCAAAUUUCAUGGUCAACAUGAAAAAGGGUACAACAGGCACCAUCAUGAAGAUGAAACAGUUAUCAAAAUUGAUAAAAUUUCCAUCUUGUGAGAAGUUCAUCUUGAUUUAUAAAUAUUUUUAAAACUUAUUUCAGGGAUACAGCUCAGCGGUACAGCACCUGCCUGGCAAGCCAACACUGAAUUCAAUUCCUGGUACCAAAAAAACCUUACAUGCAGCGCUGAGCUAACGCUUAGAAUGGCCAAUGAAGGAAUCUGUUGUUAGUUUUUUGGCUUAAUUUUGCUAUAUAGUUAUACAGUAUCAAUAGUAAACAUACCAGAACUGCUUACUGUACAGCCAGGCACUGUACAUAAACAUAUUUGGAGGUACCUCA
Long non-coding RNA from Cavia porcellus (domestic guinea pig), 1129 nucleotides. RefSeq lists it as uncharacterized. NCBI's taxonomy places the organism in Eukaryota, Metazoa, Chordata, Mammalia, Rodentia, Caviidae. The transcript is spliced from 4 exons. The record is from RefSeq and is a predicted model, not a curated record.